This is a non-coding RNA of Vicia faba (fava bean), 333 nucleotides long. The record is from the annotation of a GenBank genome assembly. Lineage: Eukaryota; Viridiplantae; Streptophyta; Magnoliopsida; Fabales; Fabaceae.
AUGCUCUCAAUUUUCACAACUUCUGCUUCAGCCAUUACAUGUCUAGAUACUAAGUGUAGCAUAUUUUUCAAAUCUGAUAUAGAUUUUCAGCAAGAUAAGGUGGAAAUUGGACGAGGCAUGAUGUCUCAAGAAAAUUCAAAGAGCUCAAUAGAUUGGCCAAGAAGGUUUCUAGGCGGGCCGGGGUCAUUUCCGCCGCGAUGCAACGGCAAGUGUGACAAAUGUACACCAUGUAGACCGGUCCAUGUACCGGUGCCGCCAGGGACACCGGUGACAGCGGAGUACUACCCGGAGGCAUGGAGAUGCAAGUGUGGCAACAAGUUAUACAUGCCAUGA